This 47-nucleotide ribosomal RNA is filed under the name Izhakiella capsodis. RNAcentral's name for it is "23S rRNA. Bacterial LSU". Lineage: Bacteria; Pseudomonadati; Pseudomonadota; Gammaproteobacteria; Enterobacterales; Erwiniaceae. The record is from RNAcentral.
CGAUGCGUUGAGCUGACCGGUACUAAUGACCCGUGAGGCUUAACCUU